AGUGCCCUAAAGACCAACUGGAUAGAAGGAGAGCGGAGCAGAGGCUUGGAAGCUUGGAUCCCUCCUCCUGCACUCCCUCCCGGCCCCGACUCCGGAACAAAACAAGCAAACAAUAAAGCAAACUUGUUGCUCUUUUGUCUCAAAGUUUUGUGUUGUCAGCGGCAGGCUGCAAUUUUAAUUCUGUAAACGUAAGUGGUUGGCUUUUUUUUUUUUUUUUUUUUUUUAAUCUUGAGACAAGAUCUCGCUCUGUCUGUUUGGCUAGAAUGCAGUGGCAUAAUCCCAGCUCGCUGCAACCUCAAUCUCCAGGGCUCAAGCGACCCUCCCACCUUGGACUCCCAAAGAGUGCUAAGAUUACAGGCAUGAGCCACUAUGCCCAGCUGGCAUUUAUUUUCUUAAAGAAAAAAAAAAUCUAAAUACUUGGGGGAAAUGGGAGUUGAGCAAAAGACUGACACUAACAGCAGAAUGAAUCAUUUUUAUAUCUUCUUUACCUUCUUUACUGGGAAAGGUGGCUGGCUCAGCAGGGAAGGAGUGUAUGAGGAGACUGUGUAAAAUGUGUCUUGUCGCGUUGUUGGUAAGCCGCUAAGCAAAUGUCUUUAACAUUAAUUUGAAAUUAGGUCUUGACAAAAUCUUGAGAAAUUAAAACAGGAAAAUAGAUAUUUGUACUCUAGGAUGAUAAUUAAAAUUGUAAUAUGAAGAGUAAAUUGAGGGGUCAUAUUGAAAGGGAAUAAUAGUAGAAGACAAAAAGAAAACAAGGAACCAAACAAAACUUCAGCUCCUCUAAUGGCAUGCACAGAACAUAGAAGUUUCUGAUGAAGGAACUGGCAAAAAAGACAGAAAAGGAACUGCUGGGGUAAAAUGGCAACAUGCUGGGAGAACACAGGUUUGCAGCUCUUGUGGGAGAAAUACUUUCAAGAAGAAAGAAGUAGUUAAUAAUGCAAAAUACUCAGGUGAGCACCAGGGAAUAAAGGAUGGAGAAAUAUUUUGAAUUUUUCAGGACAAUAUUUAGUGUGAGUAAAUUUAGAAGGCACAAAAACUGAACAGCUGAAAUGAUCUGUGAGAAGAUAGAUAUUGUCAUGGACUGAAGACCAAGGUUACAUGGAAAGAGAAAUGGACUGGAUAAUAGUUGAAAAGAUUAGACAGCAAACAUGUUUUUCUUUUAAGAAAAGAUAAGAAGAUUGAUUGAGGUCAAAGUGCAAUGAGUCAAGGAUAGUGACAACUGGAAGAACAGGAAGCAGUUUGGCGGUGGCGGAUAGGUGAGGCACAAGGACGUCAGCACUGGAUUCAGACAAACCGGCGUGUAUUGCGCGUGUACUUUGGGUGGCCCUGUGCUGCGUCAGCUGGAAGGGAUCCAGAGAAAAAGACAGAGCCCUCUUUGAAGACAUCCAGAGAGAGUAAGCUCCUUAUGAUCCUGUGAUUGGUAUUUCCAUGGUAGAGAUCUGAUAGCUGCAUAGGAAAACAGUUGAAGAAAGUGGGAGGGCAAAGAUACUCAAGAGGAGCGGGUAUCAAACGGCAAAGGCCUGAGGGCAUGGAGAGUGGCUAUGUUUUAACUGACACAUGGCUUCCUAGCAUGUAGAGAGCUGUAUUUGAUUUAGUUUUGCAAACGAAGUUCUCUUAAAAACAAAUGCAGCGCAAUGAUGCAAAGUUAAGAGAGGUGAUUAUUCCUUUAAUGCAAUUACAAGUGUU
RNAcentral lists this long non-coding RNA (1683 nucleotides) under Homo sapiens (human). RNAcentral's name for it is "non-protein coding lnc-CEP44-1:8". Lineage: Eukaryota; Metazoa; Chordata; Mammalia; Primates; Hominidae. The record is from RNAcentral.